GUUUUUCAUUUGUUUCUGUAGAAAAAUUCUCUGCUCGAGCCUUGAAGCCUUCACGAGCGGUGAUGUAUGUUUCUGGAUUUCUCUGCGUUGAUCAUCUCUAUUGUAGUUACGUCUUAACUUUGUUCCUCUUGGUGGGUUGGGUUUCUUACCUUAAGCUUCAUCAGACUGCGCUUGUAAUCACAUAGUUGAUCUAGGAGGAAGCCGGAGAAGAAGAGGAUGAAGAAAACAAACAGUUUAUACAGGUAAUAUAGGGAUGUACUUCCUGAAAGAAGAAAUACUUUCAACUUCUUUUCACCUCUCCCUCUCUCUCUCUCUUGAAUAUUGAGGUACAAAUACAAUGCGAUGGUUGAGGGCACUCUCUCCCAAUGGGUAUUAUGUUUGCUACUAGAGUGUGGUAACAAGGAAGAGAUGUUUUUGGUUGCUGCUUUGUCACAUUUGAAAGCUGGUGGAUAUCAAGCAGCACCCCAUUGAAAAAUCAAUCGAACCUCACAACAAUUGUAGACAAACUGAAUUUUCUCUAAAUCAUGAAAGCCUUUUAAGAGAAUUCAGACGCUGGGAAACGCGUUCUACGGUUACAAGUAUCUAUCGAUGUCAGUCGCUGGUUCCCUCACCCAGAGAGGGCGGGAGAGGAGAAAGGGAGAGAAGUUACAGCCAUACGCCGAUUCGAUCUUGAUUCCGGGUUAGAGGCGGCGUCGGCGUUCUGAGUCUAUCUUCGGUCUCGUUGUUAAGAAUUUUGAUGACGAAGAGAUAGAAAUGCAGCGGGGACCGAAUCCCAAACCCUAGCCCAAGAUUUUUUCCUAUAAAUGAUUUCCCUAGUCUCAAUCCAAUUGUGUUGAUAGCCUAAUUUCAUCCACUCGUCUCGGACUCUCUUCCUCUUCACCUUGUCUCUGAAACCCUAGUCCGAGGGGAACGAAGGGAGGGGGGAAAUGCGGAUGGGGGCAAGCCAGGUCGGGUCCUGUUGAUGAUGAAGAAAUGGAAAUGCUGCGGUCAUUCUUGCGUUGGUUUGCCUUGUCCGGGAAGGAGUACCUUGGGUUCUACCUCCGUUGACAAUUCUCCUAAAUUGAACUGCCUUGAGUCUUUUGUUUUACCAUUUAGGCUAUCUUUUAACCGUUGCUUGUUGUUAGUUGCAGUCCACACUGACAGGGGAAUCCCUUUGCGUUACAGAAGACCCUGAAAAUGAAGUGCGCCCGGGCUCAACCACCAAACAAGGGGAGAUUGAAGCAUUAGUCAUUGCAACUGGUGUACAUGCAUGAAUAUACUAGUCAAGUGAAAUUUUCAAAAGGUCCUCUGGGUUGUUUGCUCAUCAAUCAGUUAUGGUGUCUGAACAUCUUGCAGAGCAGAAAAACAAUUGGUGUGGACUUAAGGAGGGGAUUCCAUACUAAGGUUUAAUGAGAAUUUUUGUCAUAAUGUUUGAAAAUCUUUGAGAUGCAAAAACCUGGAUUGCAAUAGCUGUGAGGUAUGUGGGUUUUUAAGUAAUCACCUCAGCGUUUCAUCCACAUGAGUAGUGAGAAGUUGGAAUCUUGCACUUAGUAAGUAUAUUGGCGGACAGGUUUGGUACCUCACCAUUACAGAUGGAGCUAACUUUGAUUGGGUUUCUGCUCUGUCUCUGGGUUGAUUUCUUCAUAGCUGGGCACUGACAACUCGGGGAAGAAAAUUUUAUGGUUGUGGUGUAUAUUAUGGCUGUCAUUUUUAUCGCUGAUGUUAUUGUGUAGGUUAAUUUUCAGGACAUUGACAACACGAGUGCAGAAAAUUGUAUGGAACUGGUAUUUAACACGUUUCUUUGAUGUCCUUCGUUUAUAAGAGAACUCUGUUGAGCACAGGUGUAAAGAGGGAGUUUCAUCUCA
Molecule: long non-coding RNA, 1844 nt
Organism: Andrographis paniculata
Lineage: Eukaryota; Viridiplantae; Streptophyta; Magnoliopsida; Lamiales; Acanthaceae
Exons: 8
Source: RefSeq, a predicted model, not a curated record